Long non-coding RNA from Culex quinquefasciatus (southern house mosquito), 933 nucleotides. RefSeq lists it as uncharacterized. The transcript has 3 exons. The record is from RefSeq and is a predicted model, not a curated record. Lineage: Eukaryota; Metazoa; Arthropoda; Insecta; Diptera; Culicidae.
GUCUGUUCCGUCGUUUGUCCGCGAUCGCACGCAACUUUUGGGGUGGCUCGCGCGCUUCAACCUUAACAGCAGAGGGGACCCGAACAUUUUUUGGACAUUUUCGUUUUUGGACUUUUGAAUUACAAAUGGACUUUUGCUCAUUUACGUUUUUCGGAUAGUGCGCGGGCACGGAAUUGACCGUGAGAACUGGCCGGCUUCCGGUGGAAAUAAACAUUGGUCUGGAUUCGCGCAGUGGAAAAUAUGCAAAUCUGUGAUUAGGAGUUGAAGAGUGGGGUUUUGUGAUCCGAAGGGGGAUAAUACAAAAAGUGUAACGGAAGAAAUUUGUCACUUUGAAGAGUUGGUGAUUCCGGAGAAAACAAAUUCCCACCAGAACACAUCUCCAAGCCGAUUGCGUGCAAUGUCCGCGCACGCCAACGCUCACGUGUAAUGAAGUGAAUUUAUGAUCGAAUUCGCCGCUGAGGAGCCUGACGCCAACGGCCGCUCAACGAUGUCACCGGGACUGUCGCUAGUUCUUCAAGCUACACAACUACGGCGCCAACGGCUGACAAACGGUUCAAGAGUGCCUUCUUGAUGUGGUGGAAACUAAAUUGAAGUAAUUAGGGAUCUUCCUCUGCGCUCUUUCUGCAACGGAUCUCCGCGGAAGAUUAUCUUACGGUAUUGAGGUAACACAAUCACACAAAUAAAAAAAACGAGAACACCUGGGCGAGUGAAAAGGAAAGCUGUGCUAAAAAGAGACGGGGGCAGGUUAAGUUAGUGAUUUUUUAAUUAGCCCAGACCCUGAAGGUGAAUGUUUUAGUGUGUUUAGUGAGAUUUUAUUGCAAUCUUAAUUUUGCAAAACAAAACCAAAUAAAAGAAGAAAAAGCAAAUAAAAAAUACGAGCAAUGGAGAUUGCGAGGUGUAAAUACAACUUCCGGACCGUUAGUUCAGGGCUAA